CCGUGUUGUAGGCACCAUGUGGCUGGUGCUGGGGGUCUCCUGUGGCUUGCAGCUGCUGGCAGAUCCCCAACACCUGCUUCUAACGGAGUAGACAUCUUGCUUUUUGCUGAAUUGCUGCCAGGUCUGCUUGUCAGAGGUGGCUAGUCUUUGCUAUGAAGCAGGAGGCCAGGAACCAGACUGCAGAGAGGAGUGAGGUAUCCCUUGGACUCCCUUUCAAGACCGUGCAAUCCUGAUGUCAGAUAUCUACAUGGAGCAGUGCACAACAGGCAGCCAGAAGAUUUGUGCAUGGGAAGCUGGACCCAGUCCACACCCAAAGCAUCAGCAUGUUAGAUUUCCCCAUUCCAGAGGUGUUUGUAUUUAGGUCUGGGCUUUGCCUGUCACUCUGGGAGAGGCAGCAGCAGGGUCAGGGUUUGAGUCCAUCCACAUCUCCUAUUGUUACAGCUCUGCAUCCUUAUCAGGGUCCUUACCUGGGCUGCUCCUCCCACUCUGAGGCCCUUGUAAAGCUCCACCUCCAGGAAAGCCCCAGCACAAACUCCUGUUUCUGGCUAGUCCCUGCAGCAGAUACCAUGUGGCUGGUGCUGGGGGUCUCCUGUGUCUUGCAGCUGCUGGCAGGUCUGUGCACUGGGGUGACAGUGACUCAAAACAAGUUUGUCACCAUCCGGAAUGGGGCCAAUGCGAGUCUCCCCUGUGAGCACGAUGGCGAUGCCAAUUACAAUACUAUUUUGUGGUACCUACAAGAUGGAGCUUCAGGAAAGGAGCUGCAGCUUGUAGUCGGACAUACAGAUGGGGGUAAACCAGAGACAGAGGCCAAAUUCAAAGGAAAGUACAUUUUACAGCCUAAAACCAGGACAAAGGCCUCCCUGUACAUCAUCAGUGGAACAGCUGAAGUCUCUGCAGUGUAUUUCUGUGCAGCCAGUAGAGCACAGUGGGUCCUUCCUGUUUCAUAGCUGUACAAAAUCCCCAGAGCCCUGCUCAUCUCUCAGUACACACAACAGCCACAGCCAUGGUCUAAAGUGUGAUGUGAGAGGGGUACAGAUGUUCAUUAAUGUAGCCAAGACUCAUGACCCUGAGGAAGGAGCCUGAUCAGCAGCCUGGAGCCCUGGCCCUUUAUUAUCUGUUGCCCAGAGACAGGAGAGGGAGGGGAUAGGCAAGCUGUGCUGUGUAGACUCUCAUUUUGCAGAUUUGGUAGAGACCCUGUCCUUGCUCCCUGCCAGUGUCUCAGGAUACGUUUGGAAAUACAGCUCCUACUACAAUGUGCUCCUGCCUUAGGAGGAUUGCCAGGUGCAUGACAUGUCCAGUGUAGGUGGAGACAUCAAGGCAGCUUUGAUAACGAGAACAGAUUAUGCUGUUGCUGUGGCAAGGGCUUCAUGACUCACAGCCCCUGGGGCUAGAUCAGUCACCCAGCUGAUGGGUCUGGAAUGGCCUUCACAGCAUCUGGGAGGAGUCUGCAAAGGGAGAAGGACCCUGUAUGCCCACUCCUGUGCUCUCUGGGAUCAGUCCAGCUGCACAGGAUCUCACCCACCCAGAUGCCUGCAGACUCAUGGGGAGGCAGUGCAUACUCACACAUGUGUUCAGGUCUGACAUCUGUGAGCAUAUCCCAAGCAGUGUGAGAGCACUAAGCAGACCCUUAGGACAGGGGCAUUCAUUCACCCACUUCUGGGAAGGAAGAAGAUGAUCUCACCAGGGGCCCCUAGUCCCCAGAUGGGAAGUGCAGGGGUAGUGUGAGGAGCUGAAACUGUGACCCUACUCAGACCUUAUCACACCAUGAGUUAGAUCUACAGGUUGGGAGCUAAGGGGUCCUCUAGACAGAUGUCACCUGCAGGUGAAUCCCCUGUUUGGAGAGCUGCGGUUUCUGUCUUCUCUGCCAAGUCUCACAGAAAAACUCAGAUCUGUGGGAGGUGUACCAGGUGCCCAACAACUUAAGUAAAUGCAUCAGAGUGCUCCAAGAUACUGACUGCUAGAUAUGUUGCACAUCCUGAAUUUGCUGGUGUCCAGGAAAUGCCUAGAGCUCCUGCCCUGCACUGGGAAGAGGGUAGUAUGACUCCACUGUCUCAUGGAGCCCUGUUUCUUUUCCUGCUUCUGUCCUUUUGGGACCAGAGGCCUAAGCUUACAGUGGCCAAGAGCAACAAUCUGGAGCCAGGGGAGACCAGGACCAUGAGCUGUUACCAAAUACACCCAACUCACCCCUACAUGUUUUGGUUCCUGCAGCCCCAGGGACAUGGGCUGAUGCAAAUAGCUGCUGCCUAGACCAGCACAUGACCCUUUUAUGUAAAAUGCUACAAUGCCACAUUCCCCAUAACUAAGAAUGUCAGGACCAUCGUGUCUGGGAAUUCAGCUACAUAUUUCUGUGAUGCCAGUGAUCGUACAAUGGGGUGAAGGUAUGAGGGCCUGGGGCAAAAUCCUCCCUGGAUGGAAACAGAAAAUCAGAGAAACAGGACAGAAAGACCAACACACACCUGGCUGCAGAGAAACAAGCCCUUCAAACCAAUGGGCCACCUCAGCCUCACCAAUGAGAUCAAUUCCUGGGAGGUCAACAGAGGGUGUUUGGGCCUGGGUAAGGCCUUGUGGAAGCCCCUGCAGCCGCAGGGAUUCCUUGCAAUAUUUCCUGGCAGGUGCGCCACGCUGGGAGCUGUCACAGCAGGAGAAGGUUUCCUACAGGGUCCUUUCCUGCUGUGGGUUUUAUGCUCUAUAGCAGGUGAUGUGGAGCAGUGAAGUGCCUAUGACGCACAGACUCCCUGACACAUGGGUUUGGCACUUGAGAGGCAUAAGCCUGCUCUAAAGGCUUGUUUUCUGGGGACACAAGUGCCCAAACAAAUAGCCAGACAGGGUUAGGGCCCUGCACUCCACAUCUGUGUUGCAGGCAGAGGCAUCUCUGUCUGGCAGGAGCUAGGCAGAGCCCCCUCUUGUCUCCCGUUGUUCCUCUCCAGACUGGCAGCACCUUCCAUUCCCCCUCAUCCUUGCCAUCUGCCUACACACCUUCCUCCUCCUGACCCCCUGGCUGCAUAGGCAGCACUUACAUCUCCCCUGAGUCUUUCUAACAGAGAAGGGCAGGACUGACAGGGACAGCUUCCCCACCUUCUUCUUAUCACAAACCCAGGCUGUAGAGCCUGACACUUCUGGGAGGUGCUGGCAGUAUGGGAAUAGCCCCUGCCCUUGGCCCUGCAAACUCAGGACUGGAGCUGGAACUGUACUCGCUGCCCUGUUUCCUUCUCCCAACUUUGGGCUGGGGGCUAAUGGCUCCUCUGUACAGAUGUAACCUGCAGGUGAAUCCCCAUAUAGAGUAUUGCAGUUUGUCUUCACCAAGGAGUAUUGUGUCCAGUUGGGAGCUAUAGAAAGUCUGUGGACACAUUGGAGGGAUUCCAGCUGAGGGCAAUGAAAAUGGUUACGGGGCUGGGCACAUGACUUUUAAGGAGAGGAUGAGAGAACUAGGCUUAUUUAGUGUGACAAAAAGACUGAGGGGGGAUUUAAUAGCAGCCUCCAGCUACCUGAAGGGGGUCUCCAAAAAGGAUGGACUUGGACUGUUCUCAGUGGUGGCAGAUGACAGAACAAGGAGCAGUGGUCUCAAGUUGCAGCAAGAGAAGUUUAGGUUAGAUAUUAGGAAAAAAACUUUCUCACAAGGAGAGUAGCACCAGGACAGGCUGCCCAGAGAGACUGUGGAAACUUUGCCCUUGGAGGCUUUUAAAAGACAAAGCUUUGGCUCGGAUGAUAGUUGGGAAUGACCCUGCUUUGAGUGGGGGGUUGGACUACAUGACCCCCUGAGGUCCCUUCCAACCCAAAUUUUCUAUGAUUCUAUGAAGUCUCACAGACACACUCACUGCCCCUGGACCCAGUGAAUGGCACCAGGCAGGUUGCUGACACCAGCUGCUAGAUGUACUGAGCAUACUUACAAAGCUCUGCUUCAUGCAGUGAGCUUUAUUUAAACUUUCCUUCUAAGCACAGACCCUCCUUCCCAAUGUCUGCCUGUGCUGCCAGAAUCCAGGAAUGCACUACUCAGGGGUGUAGGUUGUAGCUGUGUUGGUCUAAGGACAUAGGCAGGUAAGGUUCUUUGGGUAAAUCUGAUAUCUUUAGUCUCUAAAGCAGUGACUCUCAACUAGGGUGCAGCAGCAACCUUGGUGCCAUGAGAUCCCUUUAAGGGUGCAUGGCAAUAUCAUUGCUGCCAGCUCUGCAAAGGCCUACACAUGACUAACAAGGUAAACCUAGGGACUUCAAGUAGGGCACCAUAGUGUCAAGAACACUGUAACAUGCUGGAGUUUUUCUGAGCCCUUUGCAACAAAAUAAUCACUACAUUAUUUGCCCAUAGUGAAAUGAAAAAAAAAUAGUGAAAACUAAAACCUGGUAUUUUCUGAGUGGAUGCCUUCAGGCUAAUGAGGGGAGCUUUGAGUCUAAAAAUGGCUGAGAACCUCUUAGAGCCUUGUUACACAUUGCCCUUUAAACUGCACAAAUAUUAAUCGGUGUUAGUGCUACCUUGAGUUUGGUGCAGUUGCACCUCAAAGCUAAAAACCUUCUGUGACUGUCCCCCACCUGCACAGCUGUGAUGUGCCACUAGAAGGGUGGCAAGCAGAGGCCGCACUAGGAGCAACAGCUGUGAAUUUCCAAUAUAGGGCUAGUGAGCUAGAAUAGGCUUCUAGCUCUUCUCUAAGAGGGGUGUGAGAGAAAUGGGUUGGGAGGGCAGGAACAUGUAGCAGAGAGGUGGAAAGCUACCAGGAUGGG
This is a long non-coding RNA of Alligator mississippiensis (American alligator), 4710 nucleotides long. RefSeq lists it as uncharacterized. The transcript has 3 exons. NCBI's taxonomy places the organism in Eukaryota, Metazoa, Chordata, Crocodylia, Alligatoridae. The record is from RefSeq and is a predicted model, not a curated record.